This is a non-coding RNA of Zootermopsis nevadensis, 904 nucleotides long. Lineage: Eukaryota; Metazoa; Arthropoda; Insecta; Blattodea; Termopsidae. The record is from RefSeq and is a predicted model, not a curated record.
ACGAAGAGCAAAUUAAAAUAAAGAAAUACGUUAACAUUUAGUUUCGAAUUUAUCUUCAUACGUAUUACACAAACCGCUAAGGACCGAAAUACAGACUCCUGUCUUAAAGGGUUGCAUCCUGUUGUGUGGGUAUCAAAACACAAAAUGGAAAACAUACCUACAAUGUGUAACUAAUGUGUAAUCACUGAAGUUUUAAAACGUGAUAUAACAAGGUUAUCAAUAGGUGAGAUCAAAGAGCAACAAAUAUAUAAAAAAUAAAAAGUAAAGUAAAGAUAUUAUGGCUAGUAUAUCAUUCAAGGCAAUGGAUAGAAUUAGGCAGUAGAUGGGUAUUUUCUGUUUACGAAAUGGCCAGCCUGAUAUGUAGCCAUUGAAGACAUUAGUUGUGAAGGGAGAGUUUGUGAAGUAGCAAACAUUCAGGAAAUAUUAUAAAGUAAAGUUGUCUGGGAUGUGAAUUCUGCCCUAGUGUUUACUGGAAUGUGUACUGGAAACAAUACUGGGCGGGGCACGCCGACCAUUCGUGGCUCAUCGCCAAGUACAACGGUAUUUUGCAAGGAAGUCUGCGGUCGUUUUCUGCUUCUAGGGACGAAGAGGACAGUAAGCAUCCGGUACACGAAAUCUAAUGAACCACAUCUGAUGUGGAACACUGCCAACAGAGACAAGUACCGUACUGACAAGGAUUUUUUCAACCCAGAAUCUCUGCGUCUUACGUAGAAACUUGAAGUAAGUGUAUCUCAAAAUGGUGACGUUUCCAGACCAACGUGUAUUUGCAUCUUUGCUUCUGUGUUAUCAUACAACGUUCGUUGUGUGUUCGAAAUAUAGGUCCUAAUGAUGGAGGCAGCAUUUACCUCUGAAACAUCUGUAAACGUCUACCAGACUACAAGACGCAACAACCCAGAAGACAGAA